RNAcentral lists this unclassified non-coding RNA (1765 nucleotides) under Bombyx mandarina (wild silkworm). RNAcentral describes it as "zinc transporter 2-like, transcript variant X3". Lineage: Eukaryota; Metazoa; Arthropoda; Insecta; Lepidoptera; Bombycidae. The record is from RNAcentral.
UCUAGACACACCAAAGAGAAUACAAAUAAAAUGUACUGUCGUACGCGUAGACGGGUUAUCGCUCUCGUAUUUUGUAAAAUAUUUAUCGCUGUUUUAUCGAGUUCCGUUGUAAAUUAUACUUCAGCUACACGAUAAAGGAUCAUACAUAGACAGUUUAGUUUGUACAUUAGACGAUUUUGUUCAUUUUUUUGUGAUAAAUAUGUGUGUCUAGUGAAGUGUAUAUUUUUUGUUGUUUUUGCGACAUCCCGGCGCCGGAAUGUCUGACGAGCUAGAAGCAAGGAUGUGGGAUGAAAGUGGCUCCCGAUACGAGUCUAGAAGUCGGGACACGUUCUUUGAAUCAGCGUUCGCUUCUUCGGAACAUUUGGACAGAGCACCAUUGUUAGCCGAGGAGACGUACUCCGACGUGCCGGUGACGUCGGCUACGGAACCAGAGCACUGUCACUGGCCACAAGCAGAGCCCCCCAGUGCGAUACCGCAGCUGCUGACCGCCCUCGUACUGUGCGCAUUCUUUAUGGUAUGCGAGCUGAUAGGCGGAUACUUGGCGGGGAGUUUAUCGGUGAUGAGUGAUGCGGCUCACAUGCUUAGUGAUUGCGGGGGGUUCGCGUUGGCUCUGUUGGCCUUCCACUGCGCGAAACGACCUCCCGACGUGCACAUGUCAUACGGAUACAAACGCGCCGAGGUUCUCGGAGCGAUGGUGUCGGUUCUGCUGAUAUGGAUACUGACUGGCGUGUUCGUCUACGUGGCGGCGGCUCGGCUUCACUCCGGCGAGUACACCAUCGAGCCGGACAUGAUGAUGAUCGUGUCCGGUUGCGGGGUAGUCUUCAACGUAAUCCUGGCGCUGGUGCUCCACGGCUGCGCCUCUGACAUCGCCCACCACCACAGCCACGGCGGGGCGGCGUGCCCAGGGGGCGGGGGGCGCGUCCCGGGGGGUUGGGGGCGGAGACACAAGCCCGCAGCCAACGGCGCGCUCCUCAACGGCGAAUACACCAUGAAGGACCUGUCCAGUGCCGAGGCCAACGUCGUCUCUACCGGCACCCGGAACAUAAAUUUACGAGCGGCAUUGAUACACGUGAUAGGAGAUCUCAUCCAGAGCUGCGGAGUACUCCUCGCCUCUGUCCUCAUCAAGCUCUACCCGGCCGCUAAGUUCAUGGACCCGGUGUGCACGUUCGUGUUCAGCUUCCUGGUGCUGCUCACGUCCGCCAGGGUGGUCCGGGACGCGCUCGGCAUGCUCAUGCAGGGAGUGCCUAAAGGGUUCAGGUACGGCGCUUGCGUGGCGGCCCUGCGCGCAGCUCCCGGGGUCCGCGGUGUGCACUCGUGCCACGUGUGGGCGCUGUCCACGCACCACACUUUACUAUCGGCGCACGUGGUGGUCGACGACCUCGCGGACCGGGACGCCGUGCUGUCACACUGCCAGCGCGUGGCGCGGGACUUCGGCGUGGAGUCAGCCACAUUCCAAAUCGAGAGGCACUCGCCGGCGGUGGAGAGCUGCGUUGUGUGCCGCUCGCAGCCGGCGGACAGGCCCUGACACCUGCCGACCCUCACGAGGUAGACCGUCACCAGCGGGAGCUCCUCGAUGUGAUGUCACAGAUAUGCUGAAAGAAUUCCGUUGACGCCGCUUGAGGCUCACGAGACGCAACUGAUGUUACUAAAGCUUUGGAAGUAAACUUUGAUGGAACUAUUCGACUGAUUUACGGUACAAGUUAAGUUGUCACUGAAAGUUUUAAAAACUUUAUAGACUUUCACAAUUCAAAAGUUUUUUUUUAAA